RNAcentral lists this ribosomal RNA (468 nucleotides) under uncultured bacterium. RNAcentral's name for it is "partial 16S ribosomal RNA". It matches the Rfam family "Bacterial small subunit ribosomal RNA", at positions 28 to 507 of the family's 1533-position model. The record is from RNAcentral.
GACGAACGCUGGCGGCGUGCUUAACACAUGCAAGUCGAACGGAAAGGCCCUGCUUUUGUGGGGUGCUCGAGUGGCGAACGGGUGAGUAACACGUGAGUAACCUGCCCUUGACUUUGGGAUAACUUCAGGAAACUGGGGCUAAUACCGGAUAGGAGCUCCUGCUGCAUGGUGGGGGUUGGAAAGUUUCGGCGGUUGGGGAUGGACUCGCGGCUUAUCAGCUUGUUGGUGGGGUAGUGGCUUACCAAGGCUUUGACGGGUAGCCGGCCUGAGAGGGUGACCGGCCACAUUGGGACUGAGAGAGGGCCCAGACUCCUACGGGAGGCAGCAGUGGGGAAUAUUGCACAAUGGGCGGAAGCCUGAGGCAGCAACGCCGCGUGCGGGAUGACGGCCUUCGGGUUGUGAACCGCUUUCGCCUGUGACGAAGCGUGAGUGACGGUAAUGGGUAAAGAAGCACCGGCUAACUACGUG